GACGAACGCUGGCGGCGUGCUUAACACAUGCAAGUCGAACGGAAAGGCCUGCUUUCCCUUGUGGAUUGCGGGUACUCGAGUGGCGAACGGGUGAGUAACACGUGAGUGAUCUGCCCCCAACUUGGGUAUAAGCCUGGGAAACUGGGUCUAAUUCCCGAUAGGACUGCAGGGUGGUGCCUGUGGUGGAAAACGAUUUUCUAGUGGUUGGGGAUGAGCUCGCGGCCUAUCAGCUUGUUGGUGGGGUAAUGGCCUACCAAGGCGGCGACGGGUAGCCGGCCUGGGAGGGUGGACGGCCACAUUGGGACUGAGAUACGGCCCAGACUCCUACGGGAGGCAGCAGUGGGGAAUAUUGAACAACGGGCGGAAGCCUGAUGCAGCGACGCCGCGUGGGGGAUGACGGCCUUCGGGUUGUAAACUCCUUUCGACCGCGAGGAAGCCACCUGGUUGGAAGGGUGGUGACGGUAGUGGUAGAAGAAGCACCGGCUAACUACGUG
Molecule: ribosomal RNA, 494 nt
Filed under: uncultured bacterium
Lineage: Bacteria
Description: partial 16S ribosomal RNA
Rfam family: Bacterial small subunit ribosomal RNA
Source: RNAcentral